This 735-nucleotide long non-coding RNA is filed under the name Nicotiana benthamiana. RNAcentral's name for it is "long non-coding RNA (NBEN_LNC033872)". Lineage: Eukaryota; Viridiplantae; Streptophyta; Magnoliopsida; Solanales; Solanaceae. The record is from RNAcentral.
GUCAGGCCCAUUAGGCCCGUCAGACCCCGGCCCACCAGGCCCGGGACCGUAGUGUGCUUAGGCCCGUCACGGGCUGGUCCCAACCUGGAGGACCGCCAGGCCGGGGACCGCCAGGCCGGGGACCGUGAGGCCCGGCCCGUCAGGAACAAAUAGGCCCAAAACCGGGACACCAUACAGCCUUAAUUGAAAGCCAAGCUUGUUUGUAGGUUCCCCAUAGCAAAAAGUGAUCACCAUGCCCAAGUGUGAUAGCAACAAUGUUCUGCUCCUUUUAGAUUUGAAACUGUUAAAAGGAUUACCCAAUUGUCGUUGUCAUCUCGGAGCCCCAUCUGUAUUGAGUUUAAAGGAAUAAGAAUAGUAUUGGGUAAGAAUUUAUGGGUGCAGAGUUUUAUUCAUAAGAAGCUUCUUUAGCCAAACGUGAGGAUGAGUGUCCUACUUUAUUUUAUUGAUUAAAUUUUAACCAGCAUUGAAGAAUAUGUGGGGAAUAGUCUCAGCCCACAAACAGUGCAUAGACAAGUAGGGAGGAUUCUUAAUCAAUGGAGGUAAACAUGUGUUCGUAGCUUAAAUAGCCAAAGUAAAAUUUUUUAUUUUUGGUAAAGUACGUAGUUGUUGGGUGCUUCGUUACAUUUUGUAGCAACAACUAAUGGAGAAUUUUCCUGGCAAUGUGGAUCCCCAGAUGAGGCGAUCAAGGUUGGAAAAGUAGUAUUGCAUGAUUUGUUGGAAGAUAGAUGUUGACAA